GGCAUUUGAUGAAUGCAAUUAAUCAUCCAAUCAUGUUGACGCCAGAUGCAAGAUGCGAGUAUAGGCUAGUUGCCUAUUCUCUUGUAAAACACCAUCAAAAUUUCCAGUUGGAGAUCAUGGUUAACAAGAGGUUAGGACAAGAGCUUUCACCCAAAAAAAAUUCUCGAUGGUCUUGGAUGGAAAGAAUUCAUGGGAAGGAGUUUGAGACAAUAUUGCAUUACCAACAUAACCAAACACUACCUCCAUCGCCUCCAUCGCAGUUGCCCCUGCCGCAGUUCGGGUCUCUUCCUCCUCCACAACCACAACAACAGAUGUAUGUGCAGCCACAGCAGCAACCACCAUAGACACAGCUGCCCCAAACACAGCCACAGCUGCCAUCUCCAUCAAUUGACUACAGCAAUACACCUGUGUCUUUCCUAAAAUAUAACAGAAAUGCAGUCACACACGUCAAAGAUUAUGAUCGUCGCAUAACAAAUGAUACUAUCGAUCGGACUUUGAGCUCUUUCGUGCCAGAAUUCAUGCCUCUAUUACAUGAAGUUCUCACUAGGCUUGGUGUUUUUGUCAGACCUCUUCCAGUUACCAUAUAAUGUGUGUUCUAUCAGGCUUCUGGUUGCUUUUGUUGUGGAUUUGAGUUCUUUUCUUCCACAAUUCAAGCCUUCCUCACCAAGCUUGGUACUUUUGUCAGAUAUCUUUCUAAUUACCAUGUAAUGUCUGUGUUCUUCUAUCAGGCUUCUUGUUGCUGUAAGAAUUUGAUUAUUACUAUUUUUUGGUUUAACUAUCAGACUUGAUUGUUAUUAUUUUUGUUAUUAAUCAUAUGCCGUUUGUAUUUGUUGGUGACCUAACAGAUGUAAUAUUUCUCACUUCCUUCU
This is a non-coding RNA of Camellia sinensis, 869 nucleotides long. The record is from RefSeq and is a predicted model, not a curated record. Lineage: Eukaryota; Viridiplantae; Streptophyta; Magnoliopsida; Ericales; Theaceae.